AAUCCGUGUUGUGGACUUUUCCGUAAUAGGCCCUUGAAUCGCUCCCAUGCCUCAAAUAAGGACUCGAGCUCCAUCUGAACGAACGACGAUAUCUCAUUGUGAAGCUU
Molecule: small nucleolar RNA, 107 nt
Organism: Dioscorea cayenensis subsp. rotundata (Guinea yam)
Lineage: Eukaryota; Viridiplantae; Streptophyta; Magnoliopsida; Dioscoreales; Dioscoreaceae
Source: RefSeq, a predicted model, not a curated record